Molecule: ribosomal RNA, 606 nt
Filed under: Phanerochaetaceae sp. CCC-2021c
Lineage: Eukaryota; Fungi; Basidiomycota; Agaricomycetes; Polyporales; Phanerochaetaceae
Description: partial large subunit ribosomal RNA
Rfam family: Eukaryotic large subunit ribosomal RNA
Source: RNAcentral
AAGCAUAUCAAUAAGCGGAGGAAAAGAAACUAACAAGGAUUCCCCUAGUAACUGCGAGUGAAGCGGGAAAAGCUCAAAUUUAAAAUCUGGCAGUCUUUGGCUGUCCGAGUUGUAGUCUGGAGAAGCGUUUUCCGCGCUGGACCGUGUACAAGUCUCCUGGAAUGGAGCGUCAUAGAGGGUGAGAAUCCCGUCUUUGACACGGACUACCAGUGCUUUGUGAUGCGCUCUCAAAGAGUCGAGUUGUUUGGGAAUGCAGCUCAAAAUGGGUGGUAAAUUCCAUCUAAAGCUAAAUAUUGGCGAGAGACCGAUAGCGAACAAGUACCGUGAGGGAAAGAUGAAAAGCACUUUGGAAAGAGAGUUAAACAGUACGUGAAAUUGCUGAAAGGGAAACGCUUGAAGUCAGUCGCGUUUGCUAGAACUCAGCCUGGCUUUUGCUUGGUGCAUUUUCUAGUAAACGGGCCAGCAUCAGUUUCGGCUGCGGGAAAAAGGCCAGGGGAAUGUGGCAACUUCGGUUGUGUUAUAGCCCUUGGUCAUAUACCGUGGCUGGGACUGAAGAACUCAUCAUGCCGCAAGGCGGGGCUUCGGCCACCUUCAUGCUUAGGAUGC